GAUCCGCUGUGACAUCUGUGACAGGUGGUUUCACCACGAGUGUGUCCUGAGGCCAGAUCUUGAUGGGGAUUACCUGUGCCCGGCAUGUGUAAUCAAUGCCUACCUCACCUUUCUUGUGAGGAAAUAUAAUAAAAUAAGUCCAGAAAAGGCUGGUGUCAUCGACAGUUUUUGCAUGACGGCAAUUUGGCAAGGGAAACAACAAAGACUCCGAAAACUCGAUCCAAUGGCAUUCUCCAUCCUUUUGGGAAUAAUUAAUUAACAAAACCACUAGAUGUUGACGGUGAG
Molecule: long non-coding RNA, 285 nt
Organism: Nerophis ophidion (straightnose pipefish)
Lineage: Eukaryota; Metazoa; Chordata; Actinopteri; Syngnathiformes; Syngnathidae
Exons: 3
Source: RefSeq, a predicted model, not a curated record